AUGGCCACGCUCCUCUCCCGUUCGCCUCGGCGCCUCCUCCGCUUCCUCAAGCCCCAAACCCUACUCUCCCCGAUAUUGACCUCGUCUUCCCCUCCCCACGAUCUCCCGGAGAGGAUUCCGCCGCUGGGACUCGGAGAGUCGGGAUGGAGUGCGCCGCCGCAGUGGCAGUGGCACCGGCACCGCGCCCUAUGGACAUACUCCAACCCUCAGAACUCCGGAGCCUGCGAGGCUGGCCUGGCCGCUGCUCCAGGCGCAUCGUCCCUCUCGUUGCGCAUGAGAAGGAGUCGCGCGGCGUCGACCGACGUCGCCCAGGUGUCCGCCGACAAGGGCGUGGGCGCCAACGGAGCGCACCAGGCGGCCGCCAAGGAAGGAGAUCCUGAGACAAGUUUGUGUAGCAAGGCCAUUAAAAUCAUGACGUACAAUGUGUGUUUCGGGAAGGAUUAUGAACUGCACAGCAGGAUUCUUGCUCUUGGAAAUAUUAUUCAGCACCACAGCCCAGAUCUUAUAUGCCUCCACGAGGUUACACCAGAGAUACAUGGGUUUCUGGAAAAAUCCGACUGGUGGCCAGAAUACAAAUGCUUGAUGUCACGUGGGAUGGAUUACACAGAGGCGGGCAUGGUCUGUUCCAAUACGAGGAAACCAUUGUCGAAAAGACAAAAACAGAGAUCAUAUUUCUGCAUGCAGAUGAGCAAGUUGCCUGUGGAUUCUUUCGACGGUGUUCCAUUUUCAGAUUCAGUAAUGGGAAGGGAGCUUUGCAUGGCAAAUAUCAACAUUGGUGGCGUCACCUUGGUGUUGGGUACAAGCCACCUAGAGAGCCCGAGCCGGCCUCGGUUGCGCAGCAACGAGCGAGUUGCCCAGGCAAAGGAGUCCCUCAUAUUGUUGGGAGGAAGAGGAUCCUGCAACCUGAUAUUCUGCGGGGACAUGAACUGGGACGACAAGACAGACGGGCCCUUCCCUCUGCCGGACGGCUGGGUUGACGCCUGGGCUGAGCUGAAGCCAGGUGAAGAUGGCUGGACGUACGACACGGAGGCUAACGCCAUGCUGUCUGCAGUGGUCCAUAAACGACAGCUGAGGCUCGAUCGGUUCGUGUGCAAGCUGCCGGAUUUCGAGGUCCAAGGCAUCGAGAUGGUUGGGAAGGAGCCUAUACCCGGCGUCUUGUACGUGAAGGUGGAUGUAGCCCGCUGGAAGUCUAAGGAGAAAAUCUGCCGGCAGCGUCGCGAGCGGAUGCUGCCUGUGCUGCCCAGCGACCACUUCGGGCUCGUCUUGACGGUCACCCCUCAGCCUGGAAGCUGUGCUCCGUCAGAGUAA
RNAcentral lists this ribosomal RNA (1308 nucleotides) under Triticum aestivum (bread wheat). Its description in RNAcentral is "partial small subunit ribosomal RNA". Lineage: Eukaryota; Viridiplantae; Streptophyta; Magnoliopsida; Poales; Poaceae. The record is from RNAcentral.